RNAcentral lists this ribosomal RNA (401 nucleotides) under uncultured bacterium. RNAcentral describes it as "bacterial SSU rRNA". It matches the Rfam family "Bacterial small subunit ribosomal RNA", at positions 28 to 444 of the family's 1533-position model. The record is from RNAcentral.
GAUGAACGCUAGCGGCAGGCCUAAUACAUGCAAGUCAAGGGGUAGCAAUACACCGGCGGACGGGUGCGUAACGCGUACACAACGUACCUCAGAGCGGGGGAUAGCAUUGGGAAACUGGUGGUAAAACCCCAUGGUGUUGUUGAAUGGCAUCAUUUAACAACUAAAGGUUACACUCUGAGAUCGGUGUGCGUCUGAUUAGCUAGUUGGUGGGGUAACGGCCCACCAAGGCGACGAUCAGUAGGGGGUGUGAGAGCAUGACCCCCCACAUGGGUACUGAGACACGGACCCAACUCCUACGGGGAGGCAGCAGUAAGGAAUAUUGGUCAAUGGACGCAAGUCUGAACCAGCCAUGCCGCGUGAAGGAUUAAGGUCCUCUGGAUUGUAAACUUCUUUUAUCUGGG